GGGGCAAGGCUGGUGCGGCCAGCAUCCGCGGUGAUUCAGGCACGGUGAGUCCACAGGGAAGU
RNAcentral lists this ribosomal RNA (62 nucleotides) under Eutreptiella gymnastica. RNAcentral describes it as "partial Eukaryotic small subunit ribosomal RNA". Lineage: Eukaryota; Euglenozoa; Euglenophyceae; Eutreptiales; Eutreptiaceae. The record is from RNAcentral.